This 453-nucleotide ribosomal RNA is filed under the name Triticum aestivum (bread wheat). RNAcentral describes it as "partial small subunit ribosomal RNA". Lineage: Eukaryota; Viridiplantae; Streptophyta; Magnoliopsida; Poales; Poaceae. The record is from RNAcentral.
AUGGAGCAAUUGGAGAAGAGGAUGGAUGCUGCUGAACAACAAAUCAAAGAGCUGCGUGAAGAUCUUAAUAGGAGAUUUGACCAGCUGGUUGAGAUGAUAAGAAAGGGUGUCCCCCCUGCUACCAAUGAAGGAGAUUCAUCUAAAGAAGAGGAAGAUGUUCAUCAAGGAAGAAGGAGAGGUAAUCUUGAAGCAAGACCGCCACGACAACAUGUUGUUCAACGUGCUUCAAGAAGGCCAAUUUAUGUUGAGGCUUCUGAAGGUGAAGAAUAUGAUGAUGCCCUUGAAGAGCCAAAUCUCUACGCAUAUCGGAGAGCACCCAACCCUACAUAUGCAAGAGAUACAUACAAGGUGGAGUUGCUCCUCCACAAACUUUGUGUUGCUUCAAUAGGAGAUGCUCCUCCACUAGCAAAGGAGGCAUGCCAGACUUCUCUCUUAAUGCCUUACCCUGAGUAA